Molecule: ribosomal RNA, 1549 nt
Filed under: metagenome
Description: bacterial SSU rRNA
Rfam family: Bacterial small subunit ribosomal RNA
Source: RNAcentral
AGGGUUUGAUCCUGGCUCAGAGUGAACGCUGGCGGCGUGGAUUAGGCAUGCAAGUCGAGCGAAGUUUAUUGAAGAAGAAUGUUUGAAACCUUCGGACCGAUUACGUAUGGAUUCGAUAAUCUUAGCGGCAAACGGGUGAGUAACACGUGGGUAACGUACCUUGAGGAGGAGGAUAGCCUCGAGAAAUUGAGGGUAAUACUCCAUGAGCCCUGGAUUCUGAAAUGAAUCAGGGGAAAGGUGGCCUCUACAUGUAAGCUAUCACCUUAAGAGCGACCCGCGUCCUAUCAGGUUGUUGGUGAGGUAAUGGCUCACCAAGCCUAAGACGGGUAGCUGGUCUGAGAGGAUGGUCAGCCACAUCGGGACUGAGACACUGCCCGGACUCCUACGGGAGGCUGCAGUCGAGAAUCUUUCACAAUGGACGAAAGUCUGAUGAUGCGACGCCGCGUGGGGGAUGAAGGUUUUCGGAUUGUAAACCCCUUUUAUUGAGGAGGAAUGUCUGUCUUUUGAAUAAAUGGAUAGAAUUGACUGUACUCGAUGAAUAAGCCACGGCUAACUCCGUGCCAGCAGCCGCGGUAAUACGGAGGUGGCAAGCGUUACUCGGUUUGACUGGGUGUAAAGGGUCCGCAGGCGGCCAAACAAGUGAAAGGUGAAAGCCUUCGGCUCAACCGGAGAACUGCCUUUCAAACCAUUUGGCUCGAGGCUGGGAUAAGAGAGUAGAACUGCUAGUGUAAGGGUGAAAUCUGUGGAUAUUAGCAGGAAUGCCAGUGGGGUAGCCGGCUCUCUAGUCCAGACCUGACGCUCAGGGACAAAAGCUAAGGGAGCGAACAGGAUUAGAUACCCUGGUAGUCUUAGCUGUAAACGAUGGGCACUAGGUGUUUGUCCGUAAGGAUGGAUGUCGAAGCUAACGCGUUAAGUGCCCCACCUGGGGACUACGGCCGCAAGGCUAAAACUCAAAGGAAUUGACGGGGACCCGCACAAGCGGUGGAACACGUGGUUUAAUUCGAUGCUACGCGAGGAACCUUACCAGGGUUUGACAUGCUGGAAGUAGUGCCCCGAAAGGGGUUCCGACCGGUAUCCAAUCCGGAACCAGCACAGGUGCUGCAUGGUUGUCGUCAGCUCGUGCCGUGAGGUGUUCCCUUAAGUGGGAGAACGAGCGCAACCCUCGCCAUUUGUUGCUAUCUUUAGCUUUUGUUAAAGAGCACUCUAAUGGGACUGCCCGCGUUAAGUGGGAGGAAGGUGGGGACGACGUCAAAUCAGCAUGGCCCUUAUGUCCUGGGCUACACACGUGUUACAAUGCCUACUACAAAGGGAUGCCAAAUCGUAAGAUGGAGCAGAUCUCAUAAAAGUAGGCUCAGUUCGGAUUGAGGGCUGCAACUCGCCCUCAUGAAGCUGGAAUCGCUAGUAAUGGCGCAUCAGCUACGGCGCCGUGAAUACGUUCCCGGGUCUUGUACACACCGCCCGUCAAGCGCUGAAAAUGGGGGGCACCCGAAGUCCCGAUUUAUCGGGAUCACGGUGAAUUUCGUGAUUGGCGCUAAGUCGUAACAAGGUA